UACGGAGGGUCCAAGCGUUAUCCGGAUUCAUUGGGUUUAAAGGGUGUGUAGGCGGAAAGGUCAGUCAGUGGUGAAAUCCUGCAGCUUAACUGUAGAACUGCCAUUGAUACUUCCUUUCUUGAGUCUAGAUGAAGUGAGCGGAAUGUGUCAUGUAGCGGUGAAAUGCAUAGAUAUGACACAGAACACCGAUUGCGAAGGCAGCUCGCUAAGCUAGUACUGACGCUGAGGCACGAAAGCGUGGGUAGCGAAC
Molecule: ribosomal RNA, 250 nt
Filed under: uncultured bacterium
Lineage: Bacteria
Description: partial 16S ribosomal RNA
Rfam family: Bacterial small subunit ribosomal RNA
Source: RNAcentral